Molecule: non-coding RNA, 27 nt
Filed under: Homo sapiens (human)
Lineage: Eukaryota; Metazoa; Chordata; Mammalia; Primates; Hominidae
Source: RNAcentral
UGGAAAACAAUCAGUGCAUCAGUCUCC